Molecule: small nuclear RNA, 151 nt
Filed under: Lynx canadensis (Canada lynx)
Lineage: Eukaryota; Metazoa; Chordata; Mammalia; Carnivora; Felidae
Description: U2 spliceosomal RNA (ENSLCNG00005003131.1)
Rfam family: U2 spliceosomal RNA
About the family: U2 is a small nuclear RNA (snRNA) component of the spliceosome (involved in pre-mRNA splicing).
Source: Rfam by way of RNAcentral
AUCGCUUCUUGGCCUUUUGGCUAAGAUCAAGUGUAGAAACAGAAAAAAAAAAAUGGGUUUUAUCCAACUUAGCUUUUAAAAAAAUACCUGUGUGUGGUUUCAGCUGGAAUGGGAAUUCGGAUAUUUUUCUGCGAAUCUACAGUUCCUGUUC